GCGUCUGUCGUAUAAUGGUUAUUAUCUCUGCCUUCCAUUACCACUCGUUCCGCUGGACCAGGGUAAGUUAGCAGAGGACGCGAGUUCGAUUCUCGCCGGACGCA
Molecule: transfer RNA, 104 nt
Filed under: Pseudozyma flocculosa
Lineage: Eukaryota; Fungi; Basidiomycota; Ustilaginomycetes; Ustilaginales; Ustilaginaceae
Also listed under: 1 other name
Rfam family: tRNA
About the family: Transfer RNA (tRNA) molecules are approximately 80 nucleotides in length. Their secondary structure includes four short double-helical elements and three loops (D, anti-codon, and T loops).
Source: Rfam by way of RNAcentral